GACGAACGCUGGCGGCGUGCUUAACACAUGCAAGUCGAACGGAAAGGCCCUGCUUUUGUGGGGUGCUCGAGUGGCGAACGGGUGCGUAACGCGUGAGUAACCUGCCCUUGACUUUGGGAUAACUUCAGGAAACUGGGGCUAAUCCCGGAUAGGAGCUCCUGCUGCAUGGUGGGGGUUGGAACGUUUCGGCGGUUGGGGAUGGACUCGCGGCUUAUCAGCUUGUUGGUGGGGUAGUGGCUUACCAAGGCUUUGACGGGUAGCCGGCCUGAGAGGGUGACCGGCCACAUUGGGACUGAGAUACGGCCCAGACUCCUACGGGAGGCAGCAGUGGGGAAUAUUGCACAAUGGGCGGAAGCCUGAUGCAGCAACGCCGCGUGCGGGAUGACGGCCUUCGGGUUGUAAACCGCUGUCGCCUGUGACGAAGCGGGAGUGACGGUAAUGGGUAAAGAAGCACCGGCUAACUACGUG
This 468-nucleotide ribosomal RNA is filed under the name uncultured bacterium. RNAcentral describes it as "partial 16S ribosomal RNA". It matches the Rfam family "Bacterial small subunit ribosomal RNA", at positions 28 to 507 of the family's 1533-position model. The record is from RNAcentral.